GACGAACGCUGGCGGCGUGCCUAAUACAUGCAAGUAGAACGCUGAAGGAGGAGCUUGCUUCUCUGGAUGAGUUGCGAACGGGUGAGUAACGCGUAGGUAACCUGCCUGGUAGCGGGGGAUAACUAUUGGAAACGAUAGCUAAUACCGCAUAAGAGUAGAUGUUGCAUGACAUUUGCUUAAAAGGUGCAAUUGCAUCACUACCAGAUGGACCUGCGUUGUAUUAGCUAGUUGGUGAGGUAACGGCUCACCAAGGCAACGAUACAUAGCCGACCUGAGAGGGUGAUCGGCCACACUGGGACUGAGACACGGCCCAGACUCCUACGGGAGGCAGCAGUAGGGAAUCUUCGGCAAUGGACGGAAGUCUGACCGAGCAACGCCGCGUGAGUGAAGAAGGUUUUCGGAUCGUAAAGCUCUGUUGUAAGAGAAGAACGAGUGUGAGAGUGGAAAGUUCACAGGGUGACG
This 462-nucleotide ribosomal RNA is filed under the name Streptococcus mitis. RNAcentral's name for it is "bacterial SSU rRNA". It matches the Rfam family "Bacterial small subunit ribosomal RNA", at positions 28 to 474 of the family's 1533-position model. The record is from RNAcentral. Lineage: Bacteria; Bacillati; Bacillota; Bacilli; Lactobacillales; Streptococcaceae.